This 868-nucleotide ribosomal RNA is filed under the name uncultured archaeon. RNAcentral's name for it is "bacterial SSU rRNA". It matches the Rfam family "Archaeal small subunit ribosomal RNA", at positions 1 to 878 of the family's 1478-position model. The record is from RNAcentral.
CUCCGGUUGAUCCUGCCGGACCCGACUGCUAUCAGAGUGGGACUAAGCCAUGCGAGUCAACAUAGCAAUAUGUGGCAUACGGCUCAGUAACACGUAGUCAACAUGCCCAGGGGACGUGGAUAACCUCGGGAAACUGAGGAUAAACCGCGAUAGGUCAUCACUUCUGGAAUGGGUAAUGACUUAAAUCUAUAUGGCCCCUGGAUUGGACUGCGGCCGAUCAGGCUGUUGGUGAGGUAAUGGCCCACCAAACCUGUAACCGGUACGGGCUCUGAGAGGAGGAGCCCGGAGAUGGGCACUGAGACAAGGGCCCAGGCCCUAUGGGGCGCAGCAGGCGCGAAACCUCUGCAAUAGGCGAAAGCUUGACAGGGUUACUCUGAGUGAUUUCCGUUAAGGAGAUCUUUUGGCACCUCUAAAAAUGGUGCAGAAUAAGGGGUGGGCAAGUCUGGUGUCAGCCGCCGCGGUAAUACCAGCACCCCGAGUGGUCGGGACGUUUAUUGGGCCUAAAGCAUCUGUAGCCGGUUCUACAAGUCUUCCGUUAAAUCCACCUGCUUAACAGAUGGGCUGCGGAAGAUACUAUAGAGCUAGGAGGCGGGAGAGGCAAGCGGUACUCGAUGGGUAGGGGUAAAAUCCGUUGAUCCAUUGAAGACCACCAGUGGCGAAGGCGGCUUGCCAGAACGCGCUCGACGGUGAGGGAUGAAAGCUGGGGGAGCAAACCGGAUUAGAUACCCGGGUAGUCCCAGCUGUAAACGAUGCAGACUCGGUGAUGAGUUGGCUUAUUGCUAACUCAGUGCCGCAGGGAAGCCGUUAAGUUUGCCGCCUGGGGAGUACGGUCGCAAGACUGAAACUUAAAGGAAUUGGCGGGGGAGCA